CACGUAGGGGGCAAGCGUUGUCCGGAUUUAUUGGGCGUAAAGAGCUCGUAGGCGGCUCAGUAAGUCGGGUGUGAAACCUCCAGGCUCAACCUGGAGACGCCACCCGAUACUGCUGUGGCUUGAGUCCGGUAGGGGAGCGUGGAAUUCCUGGUGUAGCGGUGAAAUGCGCAGAUAUCAGGAAGAACACCAACGGCGAAGGCAGCUCGCUGGGACGGUACUGACGCUGAGACGCGAAAGCGUGGGGAGCAAACAGG
RNAcentral lists this ribosomal RNA (254 nucleotides) under uncultured bacterium. Its description in RNAcentral is "partial 16S ribosomal RNA". It matches the Rfam family "Bacterial small subunit ribosomal RNA", at positions 524 to 776 of the family's 1533-position model. The record is from RNAcentral.